Molecule: ribosomal RNA, 863 nt
Filed under: uncultured Bacteroidota bacterium
Lineage: Bacteria; Pseudomonadati; Bacteroidota
Description: bacterial SSU rRNA
Rfam family: Bacterial small subunit ribosomal RNA
Source: RNAcentral
AGUCGAGGGGUAUAGGUUUUCGGACCUAGAGACCGGCGCACGGGUGCGUAACGCGUAUGCAAUCUACCUUUUACAGAGGGAUAGCCCAGAGAAAUUUGGAUUAAUACCUCAUAGUAUUAUUGAAUGGCAUCAUUUAAUAAUUAAAGUCACAACGGUAAAAGAUGAGCAUGCGUCCCAUUAGCUUGUUGGUAAGGUAACGGCUUACCAAGGCAACGAUGGGUAGGGGUCCUGAGAGGGAGAUCCCCCACACUGGUACUGAGACACGGACCAGACUCCUACGGGAGGCAGCAGUGAGGAAUAUUGGUCAAUGGGCGCAAGCCUGAACCAGCCAUGCCGCGUGCAGGAUGAAGCAUCUAUGGUGUGUAAACUGCUUUUGUACGAGAAGAAACACUCCUUCGUGAAGGAGCUUGACGGUAUCGUAAGAAUAAGGACCGGCUAACUCCGUGCCAGCAGCCGCGGUAAUACGGAGGGUCCAAGCGUUAUCCGGAAUCAUUGGGUUUAAAGGGUCCGUAGGCGGUUUUGUAAGUCAGUGGUGAAAGCCCAUCGCUCAACGGUGGAACGGCCAUUGAUACUGCAAGACUUGAAUUACUAGGAAGUAACUAGAAUAUGUAGUGUAGCGGUGAAAUGCUUAGAUAUUACAUGGAAUACCAAUUGCGAAGGCAGGUUACUACUAGUGGAUUGACGCUGAUGGACGAAAGCGUGGGGAGCGAACAGGAUUAGAUACCCUGGUAGUCCACGCCGUAAACGAUGGAUACUAGCUGUUCGGGAGCAUCUGAGUGGCUAAGCGAAAGUGAUAAGUAUCCCACCUGGGGAGUACGUUUCGCAGAAUGAAACUCAAAGGAAUUGACGGGGGCCCGCACAAG